Molecule: long non-coding RNA, 441 nt
Filed under: Pongo abelii (Sumatran orangutan)
Lineage: Eukaryota; Metazoa; Chordata; Mammalia; Primates; Hominidae
Description: lincRNA
Source: RNAcentral
CGGACCAGCGGGCCUGCUGCCUCUACCGACCAGUCCCUGCUCAGGCGUGCACAUCGAGCGGCGGGGCGCUGUGGAACGCGGGAGCGGACUAGCGGAGGAGGAUGCGGACCAAGCCCCAGCGACCCAGGGCAACUCGGAGUUACCUGGGGCAGCCUUGCGGGUCUCCAGGGAGAACCGAGGAGACGGGAGAAACACGGGAGAGGGUGGCCUUUUCCCUGUUCACACACACACGCACGCAGCCACUGGCCGGGACAGUUGACACCCAUCUUCCUUCCCUGCUCCUUCCAGUCAUUCUACACCCGGUUGGUGCUGCCAGUGCGGCAGGGCCUUGGAGCCCAAAGCGGAUCCCCACACUUGUCCCUACGGUCGGAAGGAAAGUAGAGGAGAGAAAGUCAGGCGCGGCAGGGCUAAGAGCGUUAGUGGCCCAAAUGUUCCUGGCCC